UGCAGGAUAGCUCAGUUGGUAGAACAUGAGACUCUUAAUCUCAGAGUUGUGGGUUCCCCACCUUUGGCCUGCAU
Molecule: non-coding RNA, 74 nt
Organism: Podarcis lilfordi (Lilford's wall lizard)
Lineage: Eukaryota; Metazoa; Chordata; Lepidosauria; Squamata; Lacertidae
Source: the annotation of a GenBank genome assembly